This 567-nucleotide long non-coding RNA is filed under the name Neogobius melanostomus (round goby). Its description in RNAcentral is "lncRNA (ENSNMLG00000018744.1)". Lineage: Eukaryota; Metazoa; Chordata; Actinopteri; Gobiiformes; Gobiidae. The record is from RNAcentral.
GUGAAAAGAAGAGGUUCCAAGGUUGAAUCACGGUCACUUUUAUGAACACCCCUGUGAAGUUUCGAAUGGUUCUUCUAUCUAAUGUUGCAACUGAAGGUGGACACAGGCAAAGCAGUAGUUACUCUAAGACAAAAUGUGGGCCCUCCUGAUACUCACGGUUGCACUUACUGUUGGGGCUUCACAAAACAGCAAUGAUGCAGCGGGGGAAGAAAAGCUUAACAUCGCAAGAGCUACAUUAUUUGCUCCCAGUGUCGUUGGAUGAGCUAUAAAGAAGCUGCCGGAGCUCUACCACUUCCUCAUGGAGCAGUCGGCUUUGUACCACAAUCUCGUGUAUGAUUCAUCGACGGAGAAGAACCCUCGCCUCGUCUUCUACAACGAGAGGGACGAGGCGGUAAAGACGGUGAAAGUGAAGAAAAUGAAGUCGGCUGAGAUCAGCAGCCUGCUAGACUCACUGGGAUUCUACAAGAGGUCCCAAAAAGGGGAAGAGGUGCCGGAGGAGGUCCAGCACCUCCCCUCGCGCAGAGACGAGCUGUGAGGACCCCCUGUGGCUGAAUCCCGCUGCUGCAC